Molecule: long non-coding RNA, 3687 nt
Filed under: Marmota monax (woodchuck)
Lineage: Eukaryota; Metazoa; Chordata; Mammalia; Rodentia; Sciuridae
Source: RNAcentral
GAGCCUGGGGUGACGCUGCUCCUUCCCGUCUUCCCUUCCUGCUGACACUCCUGUCACGGGGGUCUGCGUGACAGGGUUUCAUCACACACGACCUGAGCUAAAAACAGGAUCCUCCUGUGGCCAGAAAUGGGCCCCAGGCCAGUGGCCGUGGGGCCUGAGCCUGCUGCAGAGUGGCUCAUAGCACAGCACAGUGUCAACAGCCUCCCAGGCCCAGGCCCGUGCGCUUGCUGACCCCGGCCAGAAGCUUUUCCCGUUUGGUAGGCAGCGCCUGGGGUGGGAGAUCAAAGCCACGCGAGGGUCACCAGGAACAAAGGGCUCGGGGAGCCGGGCUGGUCCAGCUUCCAACUCCAGGGCCGCCUGCACCACUCGGGCCUCCUGGCCACCUGUGACAAGAAGGUCCCUUCCCUGUCUCCCCCUCCCCUCAGGCCUUGCGGUGCAGGGAGGGUCGGCCUCUGCUGGACAUUCCGGCUGGAGAGGGAAUCCUGGCUCCCUGCUGAAGACUCCCCGAGGGCCCUGAGCUGGAGAGGGGGCCGAGGCUGGAGGUGUUGUGGAAGACGCAGGAGGAGAGGGAACUUGGAUGUCCCUGGGGCUGGUGGACGUGGUCCUCACUGGGCCCACAUCUGGGCCACUCCUGGCUGAGAGCCGAGGGUGCCAUUAACUCCCAACAGAGUGCCAACCAGGCCCGAGAGGGGAGGCCCCCCGGAGAGCGUCCCCACAGCCCAAGGCUCAGCCUCAACCUCAGGAGGACCUGUCACACCCCCAGCCUGUGCGCUGGCCGAGGAGCAGAGGGCCCCCCGCGGCCCCUGGCCAGGCCUGCUUUGCCUGUGCUCUAGGGGCCAGUCAGGAUCAAAGCACAUUCCAAGGCUCUGUGCAAUCCUUUCAGAUAAGAAGUCCAGUUGGGGUUUUGAGCCGAAUUCUUUGUGCUGCCAAAGCAUUCCUGAGAGUCUGCACCCGCGCAGAGCCUGGCUUCUGGAGUGUGCUGCUGACCAUAACUGGGCGGGAAGCUCCCUGGGGAACGGGCUCAGGAUGGCCCAUUCACGCCUCCAUUCAUACCCAGCCCAGAGCUUGCUGGGCCGCUGCCUUGCGCCGAGGACACAGGGUGACCUCCAUCCAGAGCAGCCAACCCCUUGAGGGUAUGGCCAGAUGAGCUGAGUGGUGGUCAGGACUGUGGGGACAAGUCAGGCCAUCCCCCGCCGGGGGUCAGAGGUCCAGAGUUAGGAGGUGGAGAGCUCGGUCACGGCCUCCCCAGCAGGGGCAGGAGGAGCGUGGCCGGUACCCAGGCUCAAGGCAGGGGAAGGCCCACUGGGAAGGGGCCAGGGCAGUGGGGAUGGGGGUGGUGGGCUGGGGCAGGAGGGUGACAGCGAUGACCAACCCUGCAGAGGAUUGGAAGCAGGCUGCGGCCCUGGGCUGCCGGGGUGGGGGCACCUCUCGGCCGAGAUGCACUGUCUCUCAGGAUAGUUCCCAACACCUGAGCUCACUCUGACUGCGGCCAAGCCUCUGAGGAGCCUUUUCAGUCCCUCAGGCUGGCAGGUACUGGGUGACAAGGUGAAAGGCAGGGGACCUGGGUCACGUCUUAGAGUCACCUGGUCACCUGAGCAGGCCCCUUGGCCUGAGCCUCAGUAGGCAGGAGCCUGUGUUGGUAAGUGGGCUUCUCCAUGAGCCCUCGGAGAGUGAGAGGGUGGAGGCCACGUGGAUGGGGAGGCUGGGGUGCUGGCCACCCCAAAGGCACAUGGCCAGUGGACAGCAGAGGUCCAAUGGGGGUCUCAGGUCCUCAACUUUGUGAAGAUACUCCUUGGUCUCCUAGAGGAGAGGGAGGGCCAGGAGUGGUUGGGUUGGGACCAGGCGAGAGGACCCUGUGCCUCUAGCCCCCACCAGGCCACGCUGCCUGUGCGCUGAAGCCCAGGGCAGCAGGAGGGAGGCCACUGCCCGUCGUGGGCAGAACAGCCUGCUUCCUGGCCAAGUUCUCACCAGAGCCCACCAGGAGGCCCAACAGGGAUGAACAAGCGGGGCCACCUGCCAAUCAUCUGCACUUUGUCCCAGCCUCCUGGUCCCCAGGUUUCCAGGUCUUUCUGAGCUACCUGCCACCACUCAGGCGUCAUCGCACGGCCAAGUCUCUGGCCACGUCUCCUUCCACAGGAAGUCGAUGAGAGAGGUCCCACUGCAGGCAGUGUCUUUCAGGGCCACCAAAGUUGUGGAGCUCAAGCAGAGUUUGUGCUGUGGCCUGUGCAGUAUCCAAAGCCACCGGCAGCCAGCGGUGGGGCUGGUGGCAUUUACACAUACAGAGAACAUAGAAUGUGUGUAAAAACUCAAGCCCGGGAGUGUGCAGAGAGUCUCGGCUCCCCUGGGGCCUGGCCCUUCGUUGAGCUCCUUUUCUGUUUGGUGGCACUUUUCUAAUUCUGCAGGGAGCCCCUCCAGCAGCAGCAGCAGAGAAACAAGCCACCUUAACCCCGAGACCGAAGCUCUGCUGGGGCUGCUCCUCAAGGAAACCGUCGAGGAACAUCUACGUGUUCGAGGUGCGGACAUUAAUCACCAACGUGGGGACAGUGACAUGGGUGUAGGAGAGCCAACAGCCACGGCUCCACUGCAAGAGGACUGCUGGGGAUGCCGCUUUCAAGGACACCAGUGCAGGGCUCUGUGCAGCGGCGGGUACUGAAUGCACAUUGCAAACCCCAAGAGCCACACACGAGUGACAGGCACAUCAGGUGUCAAGAGGGAAUCAAGCCCAUUGGUGGCCACCUCCCUUUGAUGUUUGUCCUGCAGAUGGUGGACGCUGGGUAAGGCAUGGGGACUUCUCUUUAUGAACUGUGAAACACCUGAUGUGUGGUCAUGACCGCUAUAAACUCAGUAAGAAAAUGUCAACGCUAAAAUUUUUUUGGUGUGGUACUGGAGGUUGAGCUACAUCCUUGACCCUUCAUACUUUUGACUUUGAGACAGGGUCUUGUUAAGUUGUAGAGGCUGACCUUGUACUCAUGAUCCUCCAGCCUCAGCCUCCCAAGUUGCUGGGAUUACAUGUCUGCACCACCAUGCCCAGCUAAAUUUUGUUGAUUUGAUGGUGGUAAGAAGAAGACAAAUUUGAGAGGAUCCUGACACCAUGGCAAAAAACACAGUGUUUUGACUGAAUUAAGAAACCCAGCAUUGAGAACUGGAUAUGGCACACGCAGUUCCCACUUGACACCAGCCAAGAGUAAGGGCGUCUUUGCCAGAUGUGCGGCUGUUUUGCUCUGUACACGGAGUAGCUGGCUACAGGCAGGUGUCAGAGGGGAUGUGUAAUUAAGGGAGCGAACCUGCAGCCCACUCGGGCGCUUUCCUUUGUGACUGCUGCAGAACUUCCUUGUAAUUCUCAGUGUCCUAUAAUGACACUAAACAUUUUUGAAAAUGAGCCUCUAAACCCGGUUGCACUUUAAAAUCGCUUGGUGGUUUGUGAUUAACUACUUGACAAAGAGGGUGCCAAAGCACCCAGGCUUCGGCUCUCAGGUCCGUGGCGUGCAAAGGCGCCUAGCUGGAGCUCAGCCCACGGAGCCGGGGGAGCGGACGCGCUGGACCACAGGGGUGCGGCUGGCAGGAGACUAACUCUGGGGCGUCCUGUCCUCUGGAAAAUCCUCACAUGAAGGAAGAAUGUUUUUCUGUUUUUUUUUUUAUGUUAAGUAGAUAAAUUUAUAUUUGGAAACUGGAUGAAACAGAUUCAAG